AAAAUUGGACCCUCUCUCUUAAUGGUACCUCUAGGAAAACGGUUACCAAGUGUACCUACUGCAAAGGAGGACCCUUUCUCUCCUACCACCGUACUAUAAAUAAGGGGGUUAAUGGAGAAGCAUUUUGCCACCUGAAGAGCUUCUCCACCACUAAUUUCUCCUCUAGCUGAUUAAGCUUUAGUUUCCUAUUCUCCUCCUCCUACUUAUGAUCUAAUCGUUUUCUCUUAUAGUUACUUUUUCUACUUGUUAUGCUUAAUUUGUGUUUUUGCUAUAGGAGUAUAUAGGAGGUAAAGAGGGGUAUGUAGUGAUGUUGUUGACAGAAGAUAGAGAGCACAGAUGAUGAGAUGCAUGGUGCCAUGCGCCUUACUUCUUUGUGCUCUCUAUGCUUCUGUCAUCAUCACCAUCGGCCCUAUCGAUUUCUAUUACUGUGCGCGGAGGCUAACGCAAGUUCUUUGUGUAUGUAUCUUUUUGCGAAUUAGCAUGGGAAAAUUGAGAGGUCUCUUUUGGUGUUCAGUGUUAUCAAAGGAGCAUGAUUCAUCUGCAGCAACUUCAUGAUCAAUUUAGGUUUGCUUCUUAUCCUCCCUUUUCUUCAAUAUCAUUUUGAAAAUUUGCACUAAGAACUUGUUGAUUUUGCCUUCCGGAAUACUUAUCCAUAUAUGAGUGAUGAAAUCGGAAAUUUUAUGCGUUUUCUCUUGAGAUCUUCUCUUAUGAUGCAAAUAAAAUUACUAAGUUCUGGUUAUAGCAAUUGAAGUAUUCGAGAGUGGUUAUUUGCUCUUAUGUUUCUAUUUGUCACUUGGGGGUACACAACCACAACAGUGCAAAUUGUACAGUGAUGAAAAACAAAUAUCCAACCCCAUACGCAGAUCAAAUUAACAAGUUUAAUUUCCUACCUAUUGUCUCAGUAGCAAGUGGUGAUGUAAUUGAUUCUUUUCUUCCAUCAUUCUAAAGCCCAUAAAAAACAAAUUGCAGUUCAUUUGUAAAAUUUCUUGUGUUACUAGUUUGUUUUUUUUUUUUGAGAGAAAGGUAGCAUGCUACCGCUUCAUUCAUUUAGAGGGUGAACUCAGCUACAGAAUGAGACAACCAGGUCUCGGAAGUGUUACUAGUUUGUUUCAUUUCAAUAGAUAGAACUUACCAUGCCUGACAAUUUUGCUUGAAGUAGUUUCUAGUCUUCUAGAUUAAUCUUAAUACUCUCACUAGAGAUUUAAUUUUUGUUGACAUUUCAAUGUUCCCAUGCCAUUUAGGGCCUUUUAGCAAACAUGUGAACCAUUUGGAGUACUUCUCAUACUUGUUGCAAAGCCUUAUAACUAGCCGACUAAUAUUUUCCAUGUGAUUAAUUAACAUGUUUACCAUUUGUAGGAUCAUUCUCAUAUACCCAAGCACAUAUAUUCAUCAUCGCUGAGUUAGACCGUUUGAGGUGUGAUAAAGGAUUUGGACAAUUUAGAUUGAAAUUAGGGUUUCGAGGAUCGCAGUGGUGCGGCGAGGUGAAAUGCGAUGGAUUUGGAGAUGAUGAGGGGGAAAGAAGUGGUGGGUGUGAGGGAAUGCGAUGGAUUUGGAGGUGACGAGGGGGAAAGAAGUGGUGGGUGUGAGGGAAUCCGUACGACAUCGACGUAGCCGUGAUUAAAGAGAAGCUCAACAUCGACAAUAACAGUAGAGGCAACGUGGAUAAUGGGAAUCGUCUCCCCGAUCUCGGCAGCGUGAUCAAGAUCUCUUCUUUACGGCAUGCGGCCGCCACCGCCUGGGCCGCCAAGACCGUCCGGCCCUCCGCCACCUCCUGGCCGACCUCCUGCUCCUCCGCCCGGCCCUCCUCACCGCCCGCCCGGCCCACCCGGCCCACCGCACCAUCCUCAUGGCCCACCAGGCCCAUGCGGCCCACCGGGCCCACCUCCUCUAUGAUCACACUUCUUAUAACUAGCUAGUUUUUUUUUACUAAUGUUAUACACUAUAGUACAAGAGAUGCUAGUGUGAGAAUUGAUGGUGAUGUGCAAUGUUUGAAUACCUAGCUAGUUGGGUGAGCCAUAUAUCAUAUAUAGGCUCAACUAAAUAAAUUGGCUUUUGAUUGUUGUGUUGUGUGUAAACAUUUUAGGGUAUGUUUGUGGAAUAAAAAGAGCUUAAUUUUGUGAUUU
Ananas comosus (pineapple) is the source of this 2123-nucleotide long non-coding RNA. RefSeq lists it as uncharacterized. Lineage: Eukaryota; Viridiplantae; Streptophyta; Magnoliopsida; Poales; Bromeliaceae. The transcript has 3 exons. The record is from RefSeq and is a predicted model, not a curated record.